CUCGUAGGCGGUUUGUCGCGUCGGGAGUGAAAACCUCGGGCUUAACUCGGGGCUUGCUUUCGAUACGGGCAGACUGGAGGUAUGCAGGGGAGAACGGAAUUCCUGGUGUAGCGGUGAAAUGCGCAGAUAUCAGGAGGAACACCGGUGGCGAAGGCGGUUCUCUGGGCAUUACCUGACGCUGAGGAGCGAAAGUGUGGGGAGCGAACA
Molecule: ribosomal RNA, 207 nt
Filed under: uncultured bacterium
Lineage: Bacteria
Description: partial 16S ribosomal RNA
Rfam family: Bacterial small subunit ribosomal RNA
Source: RNAcentral